RNAcentral lists this ribosomal RNA (373 nucleotides) under uncultured organism. Its description in RNAcentral is "partial 16S ribosomal RNA". It matches the Rfam family "Bacterial small subunit ribosomal RNA", at positions 527 to 896 of the family's 1533-position model. The record is from RNAcentral.
GUAGGUGGCAAGCGUUGUCCGGAAUUAUUGGGCGUAAGGCGCGCGCAGGCGGUUCUUUAAGUCUGAUGUGAAAGCCCACGGCUCAACCGUGGAGGGUCAUUGGAAACUGGAGAACUUGAGUACAGAAGAGGAAAGCGGAAUUCCACGUGUAGCGGUGAAAUGCGUAGAGAUGUGGAGGAACACCAGUGGCGAAGGCGGCUUUCUGGUCUGUAACUGACGCUGAGGCGCGAAAGCGGGGGGAGCAAACAGGGAUUAGAUACCCUGGUAGUCCACGCCGUAAACGAUGAGUGCUAAGUGUUAGGGGGUUUCCGCCCCCUUAGUGCUGCAGCUAACGCAUUAAGCACUCCGCCUGGGGAGUACGGCCGCAAGGCUG